Long non-coding RNA from Dama dama (fallow deer), 676 nucleotides. RefSeq lists it as uncharacterized. Lineage: Eukaryota; Metazoa; Chordata; Mammalia; Artiodactyla; Cervidae. The record is from RefSeq and is a predicted model, not a curated record. The transcript is spliced from 3 exons.
UUCUAAAGUCCAGUUUCAUACUUCUGCUUCUCGGAGAAGCCUGCUUCUCGGAGGCUUCCCCCGACCACUCGCGGCGCAAAGAGGUGUUUCAACUCUGCCUGCUGCCAGGACUGAAGGUGGGCCGCCCCAUUGCCCGCCUGGAGCAGAGGAAGAGGGCGUGGCCAGAGCGGAGGCCAGGAGGGUGCCUGUUGCAUCUGCGCUCUGUCUGGAAAACUGACAGUUACUGGUCUGGGUGCCUUUUGUGCUCCCAGAGGUGAGCUGAGUUCACUCUCCAAUCAUCUGGUCUGACCUCAGCCCUCUCUAUGCCGGAUACCAAACGGCCUAGGUGCAGAGUGCCGGCUCAUCUGGGACAGAGACAAGCAAGAGAUCUCUCAGCAGAGUGAAUGGAUAGAGGAAAGCAAGCUUGGAACUCCUGAUACAGUCCAAGCAAAAGACGACGCUUCACAAACCAGCUCUCUGGAAGAAGUCACCUGCUAUGUGCUGAAGCAGCCUUGUGGAGAGGCCCAUGUGGUGGGGACAGAGGCUGCUAACAACCGUACGAGUGAACAUAGAAGCUCAUCCCACCCUCCAGUCCUAGCUGGGCCUUCAUAUGAGAAGGCAGCCCUGUCUGACACCUUGACUGCAAUUUCAUGGGAGACUUUGAAUCAGAGAAACUCAACUACACUGUGCCCAGAUU